UUGGAGCACGGCUUUUCUUGGAUUAAAGAGCACUGUUGGAAAACCUGAAGGCCCUGCGUCUGAGUCCUGCCCUCCUCUGAUGUUUUUGACUUCGGAGGUGAACCUCUGCACGCGUACCCCAACUCACCGGCUCUCCAUCCCUGCCAGAUGGCAUCAGUGCAAAGCUGCGAGCAGAGGAAGAAUCAAAGCUCCCUGCGAGUCCCACCCUCCCGGCGCCGCGUGAGCCCGGUGAACCCGGGGAAAGACGGAAGAGAAAAGAUUCCGCAUCGAAGCACAAACUUAAUCGAGUCGGUCGUUGCACCCCCUCAAUGGAACAAUGGCAGAAAGAAAUCCCAGAAGGACAGCGACACUUUCGGCGAACCUCGAGCUCCUCGCUCCCCCGCCGGCAUUGAAACGACACAAAGACGCUU
This is a long non-coding RNA of Pungitius pungitius (ninespine stickleback), 410 nucleotides long. RefSeq lists it as uncharacterized. The record is from RefSeq and is a predicted model, not a curated record. Lineage: Eukaryota; Metazoa; Chordata; Actinopteri; Perciformes; Gasterosteidae. The transcript is spliced from 4 exons.